AUGGCUCAGGACGAACGCUGGCGGCGUGCUUAACACAUGCAAGUCGAACGAUGAAGCCCAGCUUGCUGGGUGGAUUAGUGGCGAACGGGUGAGUAACACGUGGGUGAUCUGCCCUGCACUCUGGGAUAAGCCUGGGAAACUGGGUCUAAUACCGGAUAUGACCUCUUGCUGCAUGGCGAGGGGUGGAAAGUUUUCGGUGCAGGAUGAGCCCGCGGCCUAUCAGCUUGUUGGUGGGGUAAUGGCCUACCAAGGCGACGACGGGUAGCCGGCCUGAGAGGGCGACCGGCCACACUGGGACUGAGACACGGCCCAGACUCCUACGGGAGGCAGCAGUGGGGAAUAUUGCACAAUGGGCGAAAGCCUGAUGCAGCGACGCCGCGUGAGGGAUGACGGCCUUCGGGUUGUAAACCUCUUUCAGCAGGGACGAAGCGAAAGUGACGGUACCUGCAGAAGAAGCACCGGCCAACUACGUG
RNAcentral lists this ribosomal RNA (473 nucleotides) under uncultured bacterium. RNAcentral describes it as "bacterial SSU rRNA". It matches the Rfam family "Bacterial small subunit ribosomal RNA", at positions 19 to 507 of the family's 1533-position model. The record is from RNAcentral.